Molecule: non-coding RNA, 125 nt
Organism: Triticum aestivum (bread wheat)
Lineage: Eukaryota; Viridiplantae; Streptophyta; Magnoliopsida; Poales; Poaceae
Source: Rfam
GUUGUACUCUCUUUGUCCGGAAAUACUCGUCGAAGGAAUAGAUAUAUUUAGAUGUAUUUUAGUUCUAGAUACAUUCAUUUUUAUGCAUUUCUCCGACAAGUAUUUCCGGACUGAGGAAGUAUGUG